AAGUAAAGAAACAUAAGAAACAUAAUGAAAGCAAACGAAACAGAGAAGAAACAGGGGAGAAAGAAAGAAAGAAAAAGAAAAAGGAAAAUUUGGGUUUCAAGGCUCAAAGUUUAAUUUGUCAAUGUGGUACCAGAAAUCUCGGCUAAGAAAGGACAAGACAAAGUCAACGGGGGUUAGCUCGAAAAUUACGGUUUGUAUUUCUAUAAUCCGAACCUAAUACUUAAUUGUUGAAUUUAUUUCUUAAUAUGUAUAUUAAGUGUUUUGAAGUAAGAAUUAUUGUGUUUUGCAAAUGAAAUGGAUUGAUAUAGUAUGUGAUGAAUUUAUUGAAUUUAUAUUGAUUGAAUUGGCGUAUAUAUAUAUAGAUAUAUAUAUUGAAUAUUGAAUAUAUAUUGAUUAUUUGAAUUGAA
Molecule: long non-coding RNA, 407 nt
Organism: Gossypium arboreum
Lineage: Eukaryota; Viridiplantae; Streptophyta; Magnoliopsida; Malvales; Malvaceae
Exons: 2
Source: RefSeq, a predicted model, not a curated record